AAUAAAAUGGCUGAGAUUUAAAGCGAUAAAUUGUAAAUUUAUUUACGAGAAAUAUUCUCUUUUAUUA
RNAcentral lists this transfer RNA (67 nucleotides) under Dolbina tancrei. RNAcentral's name for it is "tRNA-Tyr". It matches the Rfam family "tRNA". Rfam says of the family: Transfer RNA (tRNA) molecules are approximately 80 nucleotides in length. Lineage: Eukaryota; Metazoa; Arthropoda; Insecta; Lepidoptera; Sphingidae. The record is from RNAcentral. RNAcentral also lists the same sequence under 2 other names.